GACGAACGCUGGCGGCGUGCUUAACACAUGCAAGUCGAACGGAAAGGCCCUGCUUGCAGGGUUCUCGAGUGGCGAACGGGUGAGUAACACGUGGGUGAUCUGCCCUGCACUUCGGGAUAAGCCUGGGAAACUGGGUCUAAUACCUGCUAGGUGCCAUUUUUAGUGUGAUGGUUGGAAAGUUUUUUCUGUCUAGGAUGAGCUCGCGGCCUAUCAGCUUGUUGGGGGGGUAAUGGCCUACCAAGGCGGCGACGGGUAGCCGGCCUGCGAGGGUGGACGGCCACAUUGGGACUGAGAUACGGCCCAGACUCCGACGGGAGGCAGCAGUGGGGAAGAUUGCACAAUGGGCGCAAGCCGGAUGCAGCGACGCCGCGUGGGGGAUGACGGCCUUCGGGUUGUAAAAUCCUUUCGCUAGGGACGAAGCUUUUUGUGACGGUACCUAGAUAAGAAGCACCGGCUAACUACGUG
This 465-nucleotide ribosomal RNA is filed under the name uncultured bacterium. RNAcentral's name for it is "partial 16S ribosomal RNA". It matches the Rfam family "Bacterial small subunit ribosomal RNA", at positions 28 to 507 of the family's 1533-position model. The record is from RNAcentral.